This 2082-nucleotide long non-coding RNA is filed under the name Bos indicus x Bos taurus (hybrid cattle). RNAcentral describes it as "lncRNA (ENSBIXG00005008549.1)". Lineage: Eukaryota; Metazoa; Chordata; Mammalia; Artiodactyla; Bovidae. The record is from RNAcentral.
AGAGCCCUCCACUCACCCCAGCCCACCCACCGUCCUUACUGCCCUGGACCUCGGCCUCCUGACAAUAAGGGGUUUCUGGGUGUUUUCUGCUGGCCCUUCCCGCAAAGACCGUCAUGUCUUUCAACUGCUUACGCUGAAGAAUUGCAGCUCAAGCCACCAAAUGUUCUUAACAAAAGUGUUGAUAACAUAACAGCUUUCCAAGUAAAUCCAGAGCCUUCUGUUUCCAAGGGAUGGUUAGUGGAGGGAGUGGGGAGGGGUGUGUGUGCUGUUGGGGGAGAGGGAGGCAAAUUACUUUUGUUCACCGCAGGACCUGUUCCGGGUUUGCCCGCCUCCCCAGGUGCUCUGCUGACUGGAGACUUUUCCAGCAGGGCCGGCUUCCAGGCGGGUGACCAUCAGAUUCAAAUCACUUCUGCUCCCCAGCUCAGCACUGAGGCCCAGGUGCCUGCUGGAUUCAGAACGUGGCCGCUCCUUCCUUCAAGAAAUCUCUACUUAGCACAGCCAGGGCCCGUACAGUUGUCAUUAGGAGGUCUCUCCCGCAUGCCCACUGUGUGCUCAGCUCAGAAGGGAGUGUGCUAUAGAGGAGACGUGUGAGAAGAAAAGAAGUUAUCUGCUAGCAGCCCACUGCAGGAUAAACUCGCUGUGGGGAGAAGGGUUUUGGUUAGGAACACACAAGGGCAUGCCUGGCUGACCUCUGUGUUAUGAGUUGCUGUGCGUGAAACUUGAAUGGUGGCGUUGCAGGCAUCGCUGUCAGCUGGCGAACUUGACAGUAUGUUUGGAGGGGCCUGGCUGUGUCCAGAGGUGGGUUUUGUCUCUAGAUCAAGAGACAACAGUGUUUUCACCAUGUAUCUCUCUCCUUGGCCCUGCCAUGAGCAGCUGACCAUUGGCCAGAUUGAGACCAGAGACCACAGGCUUUUUAAAAAAUAUAUAUUUAUUUAAUUUAUUUGACUGUGCUGGGUCUUUGUUGCGGCACACAAGAUUUUCAGUCUUCAUGGCGGCAUGUGGGGUCUUUAGUUGUGGCAUGUAGAAUCUAGUUCCCUGGCCAGGGAUCAAACCCGGGCCCCCUGAAUUGGGAGCAUGGAGUAUUAGCCACUGGAGCACCAGGAAAGACCUCCCUGACCACAGGCCUUUUAAUGUCUGUCCCGAAGCUGUGCUCUGGCCUCUGUACUAUGUUGUCCCCUUCCGGAUAAUUAACACCCAUCCUAAGACCAUGAUUGGCACCAAUCUUAACUACCACUGAGCAACCGUUGGGUUUUAUCCUCCAUUUUCCUUUCAUGCCUAGUUGGGGUCUGCCGGAAAAUCCUCUUGGCCUUUUAAAAACUGAGACUAUUUUGAGAAUGUACUUAAAUCUAUUGAAUUGUACACUUAGAAAUAGUUAAAAUGGUAAAUUUUACUUGAUGGGCGUGGCGCAACGCAUGUGCCCUCCGUCGUGCCCGACUCUUUGUGACCCUGUGGCAUUAGUCCCAGGCAGGAACAAUCCAAGCCAGGGGGAGGCGCAGCCAUUCCUGCUGAAACAGAGCAGCACCCUAGAGUCCUUGCCCCCAUGUCCUCAGCCUGCCUUUUGCCUGCGGAAAAAACUUUAGCCAAAGAGUGAGUUUAAUCAGAGAAAUGAGAAAUGCAGAAACAAAGGAAAACAGUCAAAGGAGACCAAAUGAUAAUACUGUGGGCAUUACGCAUAGUCAAGGACCUUGAUUUCCUUCUCAAGGGAUAUAGAUAAUACUCUGACCAUAUCCUGUGAGCUGUCUCAUAGAUACUGAAACCCCCACCAGCUGGGAGAAGUUAACUCCACGAUGAUCAGAUUGUGUAGACACAGGCUGCCACAAUUCUGAGAAUUGGCCUCAAAGAAAUGGAAACAAACUGACCCAGGAACUGAAGAGUAACGGUACCUAAAACAACCAAGGUGACGUUGGUCAGACCACUGAUGACCAACCUGAAGAUGACUAUCAGAGCUGACUACUGUUUCUGCAUGUGGCCCCCUCCCUCUGCCUAUAAAAACUCUUGCCCACUGCUUGUCCGGGGUUGGGGAGUUGAUCUUUGGACAGGGGUCUGUCCUGUCCGGUUGCUGGCAUCCAAAAUAAAGCCAAC